RNAcentral lists this ribosomal RNA (425 nucleotides) under Streptomyces werraensis. RNAcentral describes it as "bacterial SSU rRNA". It matches the Rfam family "Bacterial small subunit ribosomal RNA", at positions 51 to 490 of the family's 1533-position model. The record is from RNAcentral. Lineage: Bacteria; Bacillati; Actinomycetota; Actinomycetes; Kitasatosporales; Streptomycetaceae.
ACACAUGCAAGUCGAACGAUGAACCUCCUUCGGGAGGGGAUUAGUGGCGAACGGGUGAGUAACACGUGGGCAAUCUGCCCUGCACUCUGGGACAAGCCCUGGAAACGGGGUCUAAUACCGGAUACUGAUCAUCUUGGGCAUCCUUGGUGAUCGAAAGCUCCGGCGGUGCAGGAUGAGCCCGCGGCCUAUCAGCUUGUUGGUGAGGUAAUGGCUCACCAAGGCGACGACGGGUAGCCGGCCUGAGAGGGCGACCGGCCACACUGGGACUGAGACACGGCCCAGACUCCUACGGGAGGCAGCAGUGGGGAAUAUUGCACAAUGGGCGAAAGCCUGAUGCAGCGACGCCGCGUGAGGGAUGACGGCCUUCGGGUUGUAAACCUCUUUCAGCAGGGAAGAAGCGAAAGUGACGGUACCUGCAGAAGAAG